CUAAUAGCUACAUUUCUUCUCUCUACUUUUUUCCACUUCUCAAUAUCAAUUUUCAUCUUCAUGAUCCUAUUAGUGUUUAUUACUUGAAUUCAUUGAUGAUUUCAUGGUAUCAGAGUAGGAUGAAUUGAAUCACUGCUAUAAUUAAGCAUAAAACAGUCGAUUGCUAAAUUUCAAUCGAAACAGAGAAAUCAAAGAAUUUCAAGGUUUUUCCAAUCAAAUUAGGGCAAAAUUCAAGGUUUGUGAACAAUAUCAAUGGAGAUUACAACUGGUACUGAAGCUGGAAACACGAGUACUAUAAUAGGUGAAUCGCAAACACAUGUUGUGGAUUAUAAUCAUCCACCGUAUCUUCAAUCUACUGAUGUAAGUUGAAUUUCCACAAUUACUUUCCAAAUGAAAGGAACUGAAAACUAUACUGUUUGGAACAAAUCAUUGUGUAUUGCACUACUAGGAAGAAACAAAUUAGAUUUUGUGAAUGGAAAGUGCAAGAAAGAAAACUAUCUCGAGAAUCUAUGGGAACGUGUAAAUGUGAUUGUGUUAUCCUAGCUUAUAAAUAUUGUUGCGAGUAACUUGAUAGGAGGAUUAGUGUAUGCAACGAAUGCUCAAUCAGUAUGUGAAGAUUUAAAGGAGAGGUUUUAAAAAAUAAAUGAUUCAAGAUCUUUUAAUAUACCUCAAGAAAUUGCAAGUACAGUUCAAGGAAAUCAGUUUGUGUCUGUGUAUUAUUCAAGAUUGAAAGAAUUAUUGAAUGAAUUUGAAUCUAUGGUUCCAGUACUUGGUUGCAAUUGUGAUAGGUCUAAAGUUGUCAUGUAUGUACAGAGGCAAAAAUUGUAUCAAUUUCUCAUGGGACUGAAUGAAUCUUAUUCUCAAUCUAGAAGUCAUAUUUUGUUGCUAAGUCCUUUACCAAGUGUAAACCAGGCCUAUUCAAUGAUUGUUAGUGAUGAAAACCAAAAAGCUAUGACAACUAGUAGUCCAUCACUUCAUCUAUUUUGUUUGGGUCAGUAUUUGGGAAAGAAUCAAGCAAUAAGUGAGACAGAUGUUGUUGCAAUGUAUUCUAGAGCUGGAAACCAAAGCCAGAAAUUCAAGAAAAGAUACAAUCCUAACUACAAUCCAAAUGCUUUUUGUGAUCAUUGCAAACUUAAAGGUCACUACAAGAUAGAUUGUUAUAAGUUGGUUGGCUAUCCUCUAGAUCAUCCUAAAGCAAAUCAAGGAGACAACAGGUUUAAUCAAAACCAGAUGGACAACAAGUUUUAGUCUGAUAACAGGUUCAAAGAAAGAGUAGGAAAAGGAGGACAUGGUAUACAUACUGCACAUAAUGCAGUUGCAGAGCAUUGGAAUACUGGUAAUUGGAAUGCUGGUAAUAGUCAAGGUGUACAAAAUCAAGGAUUUCCACCUAUGAGUCAUAUGAUGGGAUCUCAGGCAGGAUCUGGUGUCAACAAUAGCUAUCAAACAGACAAUAGUGGCACUCCAAGUUUUCAACAACAGUUGGCACAGUUUCAAAAGACUGAAGGACCAAAUCUGUCACAAUCUCAAUAUGCUGAAAUUUAUCAAAUGUUGCUGCUCAGUCUUAGUCUUCAAACACACAUGCUACUAAUAUGACAGGAUCUUUUCACUGGAAAAGUGAAGAAAAUAAUGGUCUAUACUAUCUCAUAAGGUCAAAACUCAGACUCACUAAGGAACAAAUUGCUGGUUAUAGGUUAUCUUCUUCAAUCAGUAACAUCACUAGUGAUGAUGAUCUUAGGCUAUGGCAUAAAAGAAUGGGGCAUAUCCCUGCUAUUACUCUUCAAAAACUAUUUCCUGCAAAACUAUCUAGUCUUACAUUUCUGUGAAAUAACUUCACAACAUGUCCUUGUGCAAGGCAAACUAGAUUGCCAUUUCCUAAAAGUACUAUAGUUAGUUCAAGACCUUUUGAGCUUGUACAUAUGGAUGUGUGGGGACCUUAUAAAACUGGUACUUUUGAUGGUUAUAAAUCCUUUUUGACUGUAGUAGAUGACUUUACAAAAUUCACUUGGGUGUUUUUGUUGAGAUUGAAAUAUGAUGUAUUCUUGCAUAUCAAAAAUUUCUUAUCUCUUAUUCAAAAUCAGUAUGACACAAACGUUAGUUGUUAGAACUGACAAUGAAACUGAAUUCGUAAAAUCUUUUUGUCAUGCACUAUUCACAAAUCUAAGCAUUAUUCAUCAAAAAUCAUAUCCUUAUACCCCUCAACAAAAUGGGGUAGCUGAGAGGAAACAUAGACAUAUUCUUGAGAUCACAAGAGCUAUUAGAUUUCAAGCUCAAAUUCCCAUAAGGUUUUGGGGACACUGUGUACAGGCUGCAGUUUAUAUUAUCAAUAGAUUAACUUCAAGUGUAAUCAAUAACUAUUCUCCAUAUGAAAAACUAAACAACAGAAAACCUUCCUCAUUACAUUUUUGAGUACUAAGAUGCCUAUGUUUUGCUAAAAUACUACAAACAACAGACGAGUUGCAGUCUAGAGCAAGAGCUACUAUUCACAUGGGCUAUUCUGAAACACAAAAAGGAUAUAUCCUAUAUGAUAUGGACAGUAAAAAUUUCUUUGUACAUAGAGGUGUGAUUUUCAAGGAAGAUAUAUUUCCUUUCUCAAAAAUAUCACAGACUACUACUCUAUUUUCAUCACCUGCACUUGGUCUUGAGCAUGCUACUCUUACUCCUACUUUUCCUGUCUAUACUAACAUUGACAGGAAUCACACAAAUAGUUCGGAAGAAAAUACAAGUGAAACAUGUAAUGCAAAUGGAGAAAUGCUCAUAGAACAUGCUGAAGUGCAACAUGCAGAGAUGCCUAUUCAAGAACAACAUGCAAAAAUACAAGACGAUCAACCAAAUCAAAACAUACAAUAACAGGUGUAGCAAAUUCAACCACCAACAAGGAAAUCAAGUAGAGACAAACAUCCACCAUGUUGGAUAAAAGAGUUUGUAUCUCUAAAUGUUCAUGAUGAUAUUUCUUAUGCCUUAUCUAAAUACUUGACUUAUGAUCAUUUAUCUGCUAAAUAUAAAACAUUUAUAUCUAUUGUUUCAAAUACUACUGAACCUGGUAAUAUGCAGAAGACGUAAAAGAUCCAAGAUGGGUUGAAGCUAUGCAAGCAGAAGUAGAUGCACUGCAGCAAAAUAACACUUGGAAAAUAGUUCCUCUACCAGAUAGCAAAGUACCAAUUAGAUGCAAGUGGAUAUUCAAGAUCAAGUAUCAAGCCAGUGGAGAAAUAGAGAGAUUUAAAGCAAAACUAGUGCAAAAGGCUACAGCCAAAGACGAAGGAAUAGAUUAUCAAGAAACCUUCAGUCCAGUUGUGAAGAUGGUAACUUUGAGAACUAUCUUGGCAUUAGCAGCCGCUAGGAAAUGGCAUAUACACCAAAUGGAUGUGUAUAAUGCUUUCCUUCAAGGUGUCUUAUAUGAUGAAAUCUACAUGGAAUUACCACAGGGAUUUCAGAGUUAGGGGAAAACUAAACAAGUAUGCAGACUCACAAAAUUCUUAUAUGGACUGAAACAUGCUCCAAGACAA
This is a long non-coding RNA of Lycium ferocissimum, 3503 nucleotides long. RefSeq lists it as uncharacterized. The transcript has 2 exons. NCBI's taxonomy places the organism in Eukaryota, Viridiplantae, Streptophyta, Magnoliopsida, Solanales, Solanaceae. The record is from RefSeq and is a predicted model, not a curated record.